Dermacentor andersoni is the source of this 688-nucleotide long non-coding RNA. RefSeq lists it as uncharacterized. Lineage: Eukaryota; Metazoa; Arthropoda; Arachnida; Ixodida; Ixodidae. The record is from RefSeq and is a predicted model, not a curated record.
CAUUAGGGCAAGGCUGCCCAAAAGUUUUUAUUUAUUUACUUUUUCUCUCUACAGCGCUACUUCCAGUUCAGGCAUGUGCAGCCCUCUCUUGACACGAGACGGGCACUCAGGUACCUGGAGCUAUGUCACUUACAGAGACCAGCCAGUGCAUGCGGUUAUCCGAUUGUCUCGCCAACAAGAGGACUCAUCGCAGCACCCCCCACGAUGGCCGCGUUCACCACACUUUCCUGGCCCCGGCUGCUCGCUGUUCUCAGGGUGCUGUCCGCAUGCACUUCAUCAGCAGCCAACCCGUUGCUGGUGAAUACCCCCUACGCAUGCUCUAACCAACGCGGACCAUCCACUGCAAUGUCACGCUUCAACGGCCGUGGAUUCCCUGCUUCCGCCACAGUAUCUUCAUCGCCCGUGGCCAACUUCAUCGCUACCUGGGACAAUUGCCGCGCCCUCCCCUAGGUUAGACUAUGCCCUCCCCUAGAUUAGACUAUAUAAAGUCUGACCAAACCAUCGCAGUGCUUAGUAGGCUCGGUGGUACUACAGGAAUGGAUCACCCUAACUCUGGUGAUUUUUCUACGUCCACUAAUCUUAAUGAAAUUUUGAAUAUACGUUCUCAUUUGCAUUCUGAUUAUCGAUGCCAAACGAUAUGGCUGCAAAUCACUUAGUUUUCCUGAAAAUGAAUUUUAAACAUCGGUUG